RNAcentral lists this microRNA (22 nucleotides) under Ornithorhynchus anatinus (platypus). RNAcentral describes it as "oan-miR-23b-3p". Its record names the gene oan-miR-23b-3p. Lineage: Eukaryota; Metazoa; Chordata; Mammalia; Monotremata; Ornithorhynchidae. The record is from miRBase by way of RNAcentral.
AUCACAUUGCCAGGGAUAACCA